AUUGAACGCUGGCGGAAUGCUUUACACUUGCAAGUCGAACGGCAGCACGGGGGCAGCCCUGGUGGCGAGUGGCGAACGGGUGAGUAAUACAUCGGAACGUGCCCGGUCGUGGGGGAUAACGUAGCGAAAGUUACGCUAAUACCGCAUACGAUCUGAGGAUGAAAGCGGGGGACCUUCGGGCCUCGCGCGAUCGGAGCGGCCGAUGUCAGAUUAGGUAGUUGGUGGGGUAAAGGCCUACCAAGCCGACGAUCUGUAGCUGGUCUGAGAGGACGACCAGCCACACUGGGACUGAGACACGGCCCAGACUCCUACGGGAGGCAGCAGUGGGGAAUUUUGGACAAUGGGCGCAAGCCUGAUCCAGCCAUUCCGCGUGCAGGACGAAGGCCUUCGGGUUGUAAACUGCUUUUGUACGGAACGAAAAGGCUCUGGCUAAUACCUGGGGCUCAUGACGGUACCGUAAGAAUAAGCACCGGCUAACUACGUG
This 484-nucleotide ribosomal RNA is filed under the name uncultured bacterium. RNAcentral's name for it is "partial 16S ribosomal RNA". It matches the Rfam family "Bacterial small subunit ribosomal RNA", at positions 30 to 507 of the family's 1533-position model. The record is from RNAcentral.